RNAcentral lists this ribosomal RNA (385 nucleotides) under uncultured bacterium. Its description in RNAcentral is "bacterial SSU rRNA". It matches the Rfam family "Bacterial small subunit ribosomal RNA", at positions 790 to 1167 of the family's 1533-position model. The record is from RNAcentral.
GUAGUCCACGCCGUAAACGAUGUACGCUAGAUCGGUGCGGCUCUGACGCCGGAUCGGUCGAAGUAAAAACGAUAAGCGUACCGCCUGGGGAGUACGGUCGCAAGGCUAAAACUCAAAGGAAUUGACGGGGGCUCACACAAGCGGUGGAGCAUGUUGCUUAAUUCGAGGCAACGCGAAGAACCUUACCUGGGUUUGACAUGGUCGGAUUAACUCCUGGAAACAGGAGCCACACCCGCAAGGGUGGAACGAUCACAGGUGCUGCAUGGCUGUCGUCAGCUCGUGCUGUGAAGUGUCGGGUUAAGUCCUCUAACGAGCGCAACCCCUAUCGUUAGUUGCUCACGCGUAAUGGCGAGUACUCUAGCGAGACUGCCGGUGUCAAACCGGA